Molecule: long non-coding RNA, 332 nt
Filed under: Coffea arabica (coffee)
Lineage: Eukaryota; Viridiplantae; Streptophyta; Magnoliopsida; Gentianales; Rubiaceae
Description: long non-coding RNA (CARA_LNC002943)
Source: RNAcentral
CCUUCAAAAAUGGGCAGAUCUUGCCUAUGUAUGAUGCACGCAAACCUGCCAUUUUUAAGACUGGGGAACAGCCUUACACUCUUGGAAAAUCUUCCAGUGGCUUGCACACCCUCAAUUCAAUGGAGCCAUCGAGUGCUGCUGCUGUGGAAACGAAUCAAGUUGGUAGCAUCAGGCAUACAGCAACCCCCUCACUAGCAGCCGAGUAUUUAUCUUCUCAGAUUUUGCCUUCCAUUGCCAGUGGUCAGCAUCCAGUAAUAUCGAAAACCAAGAAGCGCAAGAGUGCCACUUAUGAACUUAAUCCCUGGCACAAAGAAGUGUCACAAGGUUCCCGA